CCCACUAUGCUUUGCCUAAACAUUGAUAGUUUGAUACAAUUACUAUCCGCCUGGGAACUACGAGCAGUAGCUUAAAACCCAAAGGACUUGGCGGUGCUUUAGACCCCCCUAGAGGAGCCUGUUCUAAAACCGAUAACCCCCGUUCAACCUCACCUUUUCUUGUUCCCCCCGCCUAUAUACCGCCGUCGUCAGCUUACCCUGUGAAGGACCUUUAGUAAGCAUAAUUGGCACUGCCCAAAACGUCAGGUCGAGGUGUAGCGUAUGGAAAGGGAAGAAAUGGGCUACAUUCCCUGUUACAGUGAAUUACGGAUAAUACCACUGAAACGUGUAUCUAGAAGGAGGAUUUAGCAGUAAGCAGAAAGUAGAGCGUUCUGCUGAAACCGGCCCUGAAGCGCGCACACACCGCCCGUCACCU
Molecule: ribosomal RNA, 415 nt
Filed under: Hyporthodus mystacinus (misty grouper)
Lineage: Eukaryota; Metazoa; Chordata; Actinopteri; Perciformes; Serranidae
Description: partial 12S ribosomal RNA
Rfam family: Bacterial small subunit ribosomal RNA
Source: RNAcentral